UACGUAGGGAGCAAGCGUUGUCCGGAAUCAUUGGGCGUAAAGCGCGCGUAGGUGGCUUCGUAAGUCCGUUGUGAAAGUCAAAGGCUCAACCUUUGAAAGCCGAUGGAUACUGUGAAGCUAGAGUACGGAAGAGGCGAGUGGAAUUCCUGGUGUAGCGGUGGAAUGCGCAGAUAUCAGGAGGAACACCAAUAGCGAAGGCAGCUCGCUGGGACGUUACUGACACUGAGGCGCGAAAGCCAGGGGAGCAAACGGG
RNAcentral lists this ribosomal RNA (253 nucleotides) under uncultured bacterium. RNAcentral describes it as "partial 16S ribosomal RNA". It matches the Rfam family "Bacterial small subunit ribosomal RNA", at positions 524 to 776 of the family's 1533-position model. The record is from RNAcentral.